RNAcentral lists this ribosomal RNA (260 nucleotides) under uncultured Glomeromycotina. RNAcentral's name for it is "partial 18S ribosomal RNA". It matches the Rfam family "Eukaryotic small subunit ribosomal RNA", at positions 624 to 886 of the family's 1831-position model. Lineage: Eukaryota; Fungi; Glomeromycota. The record is from RNAcentral.
AAGCUCGUAGUUGAAUUUCGGAAUUUGUUCAUUGGUCAGGUUUAAUUGUCUGUACUGGUGUAACGAAUUUCUACUUUCUGAGGAAUCUUCAUGUCAUUCACUUGGUGUGGAGGGGAAUCAGGACUGUUACUUUGAAAAAAUUAGAGUGUUUAAAGCAGGUUAACGUCUGAAUACAUUAGCAUGGAAUAAUAAAAUAGGACGGUUUGGUUCUAUUUUGUUGGUUUCUAGGAUCACCGUAAUGAUUAAUAGGGAUAGUUGGG